UUUUUGAGUGUGCUGCCGAGCGGCACCACAUCAAUAUCAUUAUUUUUCAGAUUAACAUGCCCGGUUGCCCGUACCAUCUCAUUGACGUUAAGCGGGAUUUCCAGUUUAAGAUCACCGGUCACCUCUCCGCCGAUUUUCAGCUGCUCCAGGGUAUUACCGAUGGAACCCUUCAUCGGGGUUUCAUCAAAAUACCUGCCCAGCGAUUCGCCUUUACCUUCAAUAUCGGACUGAAUAUACAGGCGCUCAACCGUAAAAUCCGGAAUAUCCGCUUUCAGAUUACGGGCGGUAGCCUCGCCCAGUUUUGCUUCCUGUGCACUGAUCCACAGCCCCUGGUUAUGGAAAUUCAGAUCCGCAUCCAUGUUGAUCAGCGCCGGCCAUUCCGGAUCAUAUUUAAAGGUGGCGUCACGCAGCGGCAC
This 416-nucleotide non-coding RNA is filed under the name Morganella morganii. The record is from RNAcentral. Lineage: Bacteria; Pseudomonadati; Pseudomonadota; Gammaproteobacteria; Enterobacterales; Morganellaceae.